UAUCCAAUUCCCCUCUAUAUCACAUUUGAUAAUCCAACGAACUCCGUCAGUUGUUUUCUUUUUCCUACAAAGAUUGAAGAAGAUUUUUCAGACAGAACAUAGUAAAAAAAAAGUAGAACACUCUUAACAGUAAGACAGUGUGCUGGUACAGGAUUGAUGGAAGGAGUGGUAGUAAAGGAAGAGGAAACACAAGUGACGUUUGCUGCUCCUGUAACGGUGGGGUUGUCUUCAUCUUCAUCGUAUUCGAACGCUACUCCGCAGCCGCGGGAAGGGCUUAACGAGAUUGGUCCGCCGCCAUUCCUCUCCAAAACCUUUGAAAUGGUCGAAGACCCAUCGACGGACGCGGUGGUUUCAUGGAGUAAAGCUCGAAACAGCUUCAUCGUUUGGGACUCUCAUAAAUUCUCCACCACUCUGCUUCCUAGGUACUUCAAGCACAACAAUUUCUCCAGUUUCAUUCGCCAGCUCAAUACGUAUGGUUUUCGAAAAAUUGAUCCGGAUCGAUGGGAAUUUGCAAAUGAAGGGUUUCUGGGAGGUCAAAAGCACUUACUGAAAACGAUUAAGAGGAGAAGAAAUUUGGUGCCAAGCUCUCCACAUCAAGGUGGAGGAGCUUGUUUUGAGUUAGGACAAUUUGGAAUAGAUGAAGAACUGGAGCGAUUAAAGAAGGAUCGAAGUGUUUUACUAGCCGAAAUCGUGCGAUUAAGGCAGCAGCAGCAGCAUUCAAGGUACCAAGUUGUUGCAAUGGAGGAAAGGUUGCAGAACACAGAGAGGAAACAGCAGCAGAUAAUAGCAUUCCUUGCUAAAGCUCUACGAAACGCGACUUUUAUCCAGCAAUUCGCUCAGCAAAGACAGGUUCCGGGGAUCGAAAUAGGUCGAAAACGUCGGUUAGCAGCGAGCCCCAGCUUAGAGAAUUUGCAGCAAGAAGCAGUCCCUGUGGUGGUCGAUAACGAUCAAGUCGACGAGCAAGAAGAAUUGGCUACCAUCGAGUCCGAGAUCGAGACGUUUUUUACAUACGCCAUGGACAAUGAAUCCAGCAGUGAAAUCAAGGAUCGUAUAACAAGUCCAAUGCCCGUUUCAAGUGUGACUAACACCUUGGGUGUUAAUGAUACGAUAUGGGAAGAGUUAAUAAAUGAAGAUUUGAUAGGUGGUGAACCGAGGGAGGAACUCGUGGUUGGUGAUCAAGCUGAAGUUGAUGUUCAAGUUGAAGAUUUGGCAGCAAACCCUGCAGAUUGGGUUGAUGAUUUGCAGGAACUUGUGGAUCAAAUGGGUUAUCUCAGGUCAAAUCCAUGACCAAGAAAAAAAAACACACAUUAAUGGAAUGUAGGGAUCUUGUUGUUCUAGGGCUUUGACUUGAGUUGGUCUCUUUGGCACCAUUCCUUGUGUUAUUGAACUGCAGGGAAUGGUGAAAGUUGCUUAGGGGCCAACAAUUGUUCCUGCUAUUCUCUGUAUCCUUUAUUAAUCGUCAAAUCUUAAACUUUUUUUCUUCUUCUGAGAAACAAUUUCAGAGCUAUCCUGGAAUUUGAUUUAGUAGUUUAUAACAUAUUUAUUGGUCUUCUUGUAAUUUUUGGCAGGCAAACCAAGUGAAAGAGGUGUAUGAUAUGAAGGAACCCUUUGAAGCAAUAGAUCUUCCGCCGGCUUCAAGUUCCAGAAUUUUGGUCUUUACUGCUUCUGUACGUGAUUGCUGAAAUGCACGUUCGGUCUCCAUGUUAAAUUCUUAUUCUGUUUUUGUUCAUGUUGUAUAUCGGUUUCAGUACAUAGGCAUAUAUAAUGAUGGUUGCCUAUUAUAUGCUGUAUUCGUUAGUUUUUACACUAUAAUUAAAUAAUGAUCAUUAGCUCA
Hibiscus syriacus is the source of this 1834-nucleotide RNA transcript. It is a transcript of the gene named heat shock factor protein HSF30-like, with no coding region annotated. Lineage: Eukaryota; Viridiplantae; Streptophyta; Magnoliopsida; Malvales; Malvaceae. The transcript has 3 exons. The record is from RefSeq and is a predicted model, not a curated record.